Molecule: ribosomal RNA, 280 nt
Filed under: uncultured bacterium
Lineage: Bacteria
Description: partial 16S ribosomal RNA
Rfam family: Bacterial small subunit ribosomal RNA
Source: RNAcentral
GAUGAACGCUAGCGGCAGGCCUAAUACAUGCAAGCCGAACGGCAAGCUUUGUAGCAAUACGGAGCCUAGAGUGGCGUAAGGGUGCGUAACACGUACGCAAUCUACCCUCAACAGGAGAAUAGCUCCCCGAAAGGGGAAGUUAAUGUUCCAUAGGAUCAUGGUGCGGCAUCGCACAGUGAUUAAACCGCAAGGGGUUGAGGAUGAGCAUGCGCAUGAUUAGUUAGUUGGCGGGGUAACGGCCCACCAAGACGAUGAUCAUUAGGGGAACGUGAGAGGUUGA